UAGCACCCGAAGGGCUCGCCCACGACAAGUCAUUUAUCGGCUUCAAAUAAAGAAGUGGAAGAAACUAGAGCACUAUCAAAAUCACCUGCUAUUUCCUUGAGGACAGGAAUGAGGCACAAGGUAUUCAACUAGGAUUUGCCAGAGUAGACAAGCUGCAGGGAAUCAGCGUUGUCCAGAAACUCUGAAAGGUGACAUAGAUUCGGUAUUUGAAUCCUUCUUGGUAAAGCUGAGGAAGAAAGAAAACUAGGGAAAGAACCUAGAGAAUAUGCUUUCUGAAGAAUGGAAAAUAAAGUUGGCUAAAAUAAUGAAGUCAAAGUUAUUAUUUUAAUCUUAGACUAUGAUAUGUUUGUGAAAAUAAAGCCUCUUAUUAUACACCAAAA
Molecule: long non-coding RNA, 380 nt
Organism: Homo sapiens (human)
Lineage: Eukaryota; Metazoa; Chordata; Mammalia; Primates; Hominidae
Exons: 2
Source: RefSeq, a predicted model, not a curated record